CGUAGGGUGCAAGCGUUGUCCGGAAUUAUUGGGCGUAAAGAGCUCGUAGGCGGUUUGUCGCGUCUGCUGUGAAAAUCCAGGGCUCAACCCUGGACCCGCAGUGGGUACGGGCAGACUAGAGUGCGGUAGGGGAGAUCGGAAUUCCUGGUGUAGCGGUGAAAUGCGCAGAUAUCAGGAGGAACACCGGUGGCGAAGGCGGAUCUCUGGGCCGUAACUGACGCUGAGGAGCGAAAGCAUGGGGAGCGAACAGGAUUAGAUACCCUGGUAGUCCAUGCCGUAAACGUUGGGCGCUAGGUGUGGGGCUCAUUCCACGAGUUCUGUGCCGCAGCAAACGCAUUAAGCGCCCCGCCUGGGGAGUACGGCCGCAAGGCUA
Molecule: ribosomal RNA, 373 nt
Filed under: uncultured organism
Description: bacterial SSU rRNA
Rfam family: Bacterial small subunit ribosomal RNA
Source: RNAcentral